Molecule: long non-coding RNA, 704 nt
Organism: Pan troglodytes (chimpanzee)
Lineage: Eukaryota; Metazoa; Chordata; Mammalia; Primates; Hominidae
Exons: 3
Source: RefSeq, a predicted model, not a curated record
ACUAACUAUGAGUGAGUGGUGGUUAUGCACUAGACAUAUUCCAAGUAUUUUAUGUGUAUUCACUCAUUCAAGGCUUGAACAACUCAACGAGUUAGCCGUUCAUCUGUAAAGACAGGAGUGAUCAAGGAAGGCUUCAUGGAAGAGAAGGCAUUUUAGAUGGGAGGAGGAUGGAUUAGAAGGCUGCCCGAGAUCACCUCCAUUCCUGGCACUCAGAGGAGCUGCGUUUCCUCUAAAGCAGAGAAAUGAGGCCAAGGCAGAAUGAAGAGGAGCCACAGGACUCCAGAGAGGUUCACGUCACCACCCCACAGGGGACAAACGCAUACCUUGUUUUCUGAGUUGACAGACAUCCGGUUACUUCAUCUUGGAAGUUACAUUCAUCUGCCCUUUGGAACAUCCUGCCCAAUGACCGAUUUUUCAAAAUAGCUUCUUUUCCCUGAUUAUAUUUGUAAUACCUACUCACUGCAAAACAUUUGAGAAAGCUCAAAAACAGAAAUAAGGAAAUGCAAUCACAUAGACACACACACACAGACCCACACACAGAGACAUAUAUGUAUAUAUAGAGACAUGCACGUACACACAGACCCGCACAUGUAUGUGUAUGUUUGUGUAUAGUGUAUACAGUUUUCAUCCAUUUUAGCUGGUAUUUAAAAAUGCACUUUUAGCUGACAAAAUCUGUAAGAAUAAACAAGAAGAUAACAAUAGCC